RNAcentral lists this long non-coding RNA (703 nucleotides) under Rattus norvegicus (Norway rat). Its description in RNAcentral is "long non-coding RNA NONRATT029762". Lineage: Eukaryota; Metazoa; Chordata; Mammalia; Rodentia; Muridae. The record is from RNAcentral.
CUGAGAGCCAAAAGCCAGUCAGCAGGAGCACCUACACAUUUGAGAACAGACAGAAGACCUACUCUUCUGCUCCAAGCGACCCACCUGGUAGCCUUAGGACACACAAAGUCAGGAGUAGCUCUCUGUUCCCAGAUCUGGCUGAAAGAAAACAGGUCUACAGGAGUACUGACACACAGGCUAAAAGGAAGGUCAAGUCACUGUCAGAGACAGAAAGACAAGCUAACACCAGAGAAAACCUGAUGGCAAGAGACAAGCACAGGAACCUAAGCAACAGAAACCAAGACUAGUUGGCAUCAUCAGAAACCAGUUCUCCCACCAAAACAAGAUUUAGAUUCAAAAUCACAUCUCAGAAUGAUGAUAGAGGACUUUGAGAAGGACAUAACUUCCUUAAAGAAAUACGGGCCAACACGGUUGAACAAAUAGAAGCCCUUAAAGAGGAAACAGAAAAUCCCUUAAAGAAUUAUAGGAAAACACAACCAAACAGGUGAAGGAAUUGAACAUAACCAUCCAGGUUUCAAAAAUGGAAAUAGAAACAAAAAAGAAAGCACAAAGGGAGACAUCCCUGGAGAUAGAAAGCCUAGGAAAGAGAUGAGGAGUCACAGAUGCAAGCAUCACUAACAUAAUACAAGAGCUAGAAGAGAGAAUCUCAGGGGCAGAAGAUACUAUAGAAAACAGCAACAUAACCAUCAAAGAUAAUGUAAAA